RNAcentral lists this ribosomal RNA (429 nucleotides) under Actinomycetes bacterium. RNAcentral describes it as "Actinobacteria bacterium partial 16S ribosomal RNA". It matches the Rfam family "Bacterial small subunit ribosomal RNA", at positions 355 to 776 of the family's 1533-position model. Lineage: Bacteria; Bacillati; Actinomycetota; Actinomycetes. The record is from RNAcentral.
UAGGGAAUCUUCCGCAAUGGGCGAAAGCCUGACGGAGCAACGCCGCGUGAGUGAUGAAGGUCUUCGGAUCGUAAAACUCUGUUAUUAGGGAAGAACAAAUGUGUAAGUAACUAUGCACGUCUUGACGGUACCUAAUCAGAAAGCCACGGCUAACUACGUGCCAGCAGCCGCGGUAAUACGUAGGUGGCAAGCGUUAUCCGGAAUUAUUGGGCGUAAAGCGCGCGUAGGCGGUUUUUUAAGUCUGAUGUGAAAGCCCACGGCUCAACCGUGGAGGGUCAUUGGAAACUGGAAAACUUGAGUGCAGAAGAGGAAAGCGGAAUUCCAAGUGUAGCGGUGAAAUGCGCAGAGAUAUGGAGUAACACCAGUGGCGAAGGCGACUUUCUGGUCUGAAACUGACGCUGAUGUGCGAAAGCGUGGGGAUCAAACAGG